GUUACGUUGCGAAUUUGUCUAUGGGAAUCUCCAGAAAUAUGAAAUAUACUGUACUUCUAAAAAACGAAUUUGGAGAUACAAGAAAAACCUUCGAAUUGCAUUCAGAUCUGAUUGUAUCAUUUGACUUUCGAUUUUGGAUUUUUGGAUUGUCGAUCUUUGGAGAAUUUUUAGUGGCAACGACAAUGACUGUUGCAAUUCCUAGAGGAAAACAGUAUCAAAAUGUUGUUCAUAUUGUUGGUCCACUAGAACGAUCACCAACUAUUCCUAUGCAAGUAUCUUGAUCUACUAGCAUUUGUAUUGCACAUAGUCAUAGAAGUAAAUGUAGCUC
Long non-coding RNA from Mytilus californianus (California mussel), 328 nucleotides. RefSeq lists it as uncharacterized. Lineage: Eukaryota; Metazoa; Mollusca; Bivalvia; Mytilida; Mytilidae. The record is from RefSeq and is a predicted model, not a curated record. The transcript has 3 exons.